This 976-nucleotide long non-coding RNA is filed under the name Chloebia gouldiae (Gouldian finch). RNAcentral describes it as "Erythrura gouldiae (Gouldian finch) lncRNA (ENSEGOG00005017662.1)". Lineage: Eukaryota; Metazoa; Chordata; Aves; Passeriformes; Passeridae. The record is from RNAcentral.
CCCCGCAGCCUGUCGGACGCUGCCUUUGACACGCUGCGGCUCUGGGCCGUGCUGGCUCUGUCGCUGCUGCGGCUGCUGGGGACGCGCCACCACCUGCAGGCGUACCUGGGGCUGGCGGAGCGCCGGGCGCGCAGCCUGCGCCGGGCGGCGGGACGCGUCCCGGCCCGGCAGCUCCAGCAGCAGAUCGCCAGGAUUUACUGCUACGUGUCCGUGGUGAGCCUGCAGUACCUGGGGCCCGUGAUCCUCACGCUGCACUGCACCCUGCUGCUCAAGACGCUGGGCCAGCACUCCUGGGGGCUGUACCCCGAGUCCCCCGCCGUGUCCCCCGCCGUGUCCCCAGCGGCGCCGGUGGCCCCGCCACGCCCCGAGGGCGACGCGGGCGGGGACGUGCACGAGGUGGUGCAGGAGAUCUCGGGGGUCCUGCGCUGCAUCUUCACCCCCCUCUUCUUCCGAGGGCUCUUCUCCUUCCUCACCUGGUGGGUGGCCGCCUGCCAAGUGGUCACCAGCCUCUUCGGCCUCUACUUCCACCAGUACCUGGCAGCGUCCUGAUGGGAGGGACUGGGAGGGACUGGGAGGGACUGGGAGGGACUGGGUGCUGCCCGUCCCCCGCUGCUGCCUUGUCUGCUUGUCCCACUUUGAGGACACACGCGGGGACGUGGGUGCCACCAGGACGGGUUUCGUGUCACCGCUGUGCCUGCCCCUCGUGGGGACCCUCCAGGGCUGCCUUUUCCUGGAGGGCAGCGGCUCCUGGAGCGCUGGGGACGCGGUGGGGACCUCCAGGAGCGGCCAGCGGAGGUUUCGGGGUGUUCCCAGCUGACCGGAGGGGUUUUUGUAGGGGGUUUUUGUGGGGGGCUUUUGUGGGGGGGUUUUGUAGGGUCUCUGCACCCCGGCGUCACCCCCCGCGCUCCGUGUGACCCCUCGAGCCCCUCGGGGGCGGCUGCCUCACAAUAAACAAGUGACACCAGCGUCGUCCUCA